RNAcentral lists this ribosomal RNA (838 nucleotides) under Escherichia coli. Its description in RNAcentral is "partial 23S ribosomal RNA". It matches the Rfam family "Bacterial large subunit ribosomal RNA", at positions 375 to 1218 of the family's 2925-position model. The record is from RNAcentral. Lineage: Bacteria; Pseudomonadati; Pseudomonadota; Gammaproteobacteria; Enterobacterales; Enterobacteriaceae.
GUACACAAAAAUGCACAUACUGUGAGCUCGAUGAGUAGGGCGGGACACGUGGUAUCCUGUCUGAAUAUGGGGGGACCAUCCUCCAAGGCUAAAUACUCCUGACUGACCGAUAGUGAACCAGUACCGUGAGGGAAAGGCGAAAAGAACCCCGGCGAGGGGAGUGAAAAAGAACCUGAAACCGUGUACGUACAAGCAGUGGGAGCCUCUUAAUGGGGUGACUGCGUACCUUUUGUAUAAUGGGUCAGCGACUUAUAUUCUGUAGCAAGGUUAACCGAAUAGGGGAGCCGAAGGGAAACCGAGUCUUAACUGGGCGUUAAGUUGCAGGGUAUAGACCCGAAACCCGGUGAUCUAGCCAUGGGCAGGUUGAAGGUUGGGUAACACUAACUGGAGGACCGAACCGACUAAUGUUGAAAAAUUAGCGGAUGACUUGUGGCUGGGGGUGAAAGGCCAAUCAAACCGGGAGAUAGCUGGUUCUCCCCGAAAGCUAUUUAGGUAGCGCCUCGUGAAUUCAUCUCCGGGGGUAGAGCACUGUUUCGGCAAGGGGGUCAUCCCGACUUACCAACCCGAUGCAAACUGCGAAUACCGGAGAAUGUUAUCACGGGAGACACACGGCGGGUGCUAACGUCCGUCGUGAAGAGGGAAACAACCCAGACCGCCAGCUAAGGUCCCAAAGUCAUGGUUAAGUGGGAAACGAUGUGGGAAGGCCCAGACAGCCAGGAUGUUGGCUUAGAAGCAGCCAUCAUUUAAAGAAAGCGUAAUAGCUCACUGGUCGAGUCGGCCUGCGCGGAAGAUGUAACGGGGCUAAACCAUGCACCGAAGCUGCGGCAGCGACACUAUG